GGCCUGAUGGUCUAGUAGUAUGAUACCUUGUUAGGGUCGAGGUGGUCCCGGGUUCAAUUCCCGGUCAGGCCC
This 72-nucleotide transfer RNA is filed under the name Coniophora puteana RWD-64-598 SS2. RNAcentral describes it as "tRNA-Pro (AGG) (tRNA-Pro-AGG-2-1)". It matches the Rfam family "tRNA". From Rfam's summary of the family: Transfer RNA (tRNA) molecules are approximately 80 nucleotides in length. Their secondary structure includes four short double-helical elements and three loops (D, anti-codon, and T loops). The record is from RNAcentral. Lineage: Eukaryota; Fungi; Basidiomycota; Agaricomycetes; Boletales; Coniophoraceae.